UACAGAGGGUGCGAGCGUUGUCCGGAAUCACUGGGCGUAAAGGGCGCGUAGGCGGCCCGAUAAGUAGGGGGUGAAAUCUUGCGGCUCAACCGCAAGGCUGCCUUCUAAACUGUCGGGCUGGAGCACGGUAGAGGCAGAUGGAAUUCCCGGUGUAGCGGUGGAAUGCGUAGAGAUCGGGAAGAACACCAGUGGCGAAGGCGACUACCUGGCCUGUUUCUUGACGCUGAGGCGCGAAAGCUAGGGGAGCAAACGGG
This 254-nucleotide ribosomal RNA is filed under the name uncultured bacterium. Its description in RNAcentral is "partial 16S ribosomal RNA". It matches the Rfam family "Bacterial small subunit ribosomal RNA", at positions 524 to 776 of the family's 1533-position model. The record is from RNAcentral.